RNAcentral lists this ribosomal RNA (367 nucleotides) under uncultured bacterium. RNAcentral describes it as "bacterial SSU rRNA". It matches the Rfam family "Bacterial small subunit ribosomal RNA", at positions 527 to 896 of the family's 1533-position model. The record is from RNAcentral.
GUAGGUGGCAAGCGUUGUCCGGAUUUAUUGGGUUUAAAGGGUGCGUAGGCGGUCCUAUAAGUCAGUGGUGAAAUACGGCAGCUCAACUGUCGAGGUGCCAUUGAUACUGCAGGACUAGAGUACUGAUGAGGUAGGCGGAAUGGACGGUGUAGCGGUGAAAUGCUUAGAUAUCGUCCAGAACACCGAUAGCGAAGGCAGCUUACUAAGGAGUAACUGACGCUGAGGCACGAAAGUGUGGGGAUCAAACAGGAUUAGAUACCCUGGUAGUCCACACUGUAAACGUUGAUCACUAGAUGUUGGCGAUACACUGCCAGCGUUCCAGCAAAAGCGAUAAGUGAUCCACCUGGGGAGUACGCCCGCAAGGGUG